RNAcentral lists this ribosomal RNA (41 nucleotides) under Swartzia simplex var. continentalis. RNAcentral describes it as "partial 26S ribosomal RNA". Lineage: Eukaryota; Viridiplantae; Streptophyta; Magnoliopsida; Fabales; Fabaceae. The record is from RNAcentral.
CGGGACCUCAGGUCAGGCGGGGCUACCCGCUGAGUUUAAGC